GAGUAACGCGUAGGUAACCUACCUCUUAGCGGGGGAUAACUAUUGGAAACGAUAGCUAAUACCGCAUAACAAUAGGAUACACAUGUACCCUAUUUAAAAGGAGCAACUGCUUCACUAAGAGAUGGACCCGCGUUGUAUUAGCUAGUUGGUAGGGUAACGGCCUACCAAGGCAUCGAUACAUAGCCGACUGAGAGGGUGAUCGGCACACUGGGACUGAGACACGGCCAGACUCCUACGGGAGGCAGCAGUAGGGAAUCUUCGGCAAUGGGGGGAACCCUGACCGAGCAACGCCGCGUGAGUGAAGAAGGUUUUCGGAUCGUAAAGCUCUGUUGUAAGAGAAGAACGUGUGAGAGAGUGGAAAGUUCUCACAGUGACGGUAACUUACCAGAAAGGGACGGCUAACUACGUGCCAGCAGCCGCGGUAAUACGUAGGUCCCGAGCGUUGUCCGGAUUUAUUGGGCGUAAAGCGAGCGCAGGUGGUUGUAUAAGU
This 490-nucleotide ribosomal RNA is filed under the name Streptococcus minor. RNAcentral describes it as "bacterial SSU rRNA". It matches the Rfam family "Bacterial small subunit ribosomal RNA", at positions 108 to 588 of the family's 1533-position model. The record is from RNAcentral. Lineage: Bacteria; Bacillati; Bacillota; Bacilli; Lactobacillales; Streptococcaceae.